Molecule: long non-coding RNA, 364 nt
Filed under: Dasypus novemcinctus (nine-banded armadillo)
Lineage: Eukaryota; Metazoa; Chordata; Mammalia; Cingulata; Dasypodidae
Description: lncRNA (ENSDNOG00000051435.1)
Source: RNAcentral
UAUGCAGAAUGGGGAAUUAGACAAGGUUUCUAAUUGUGAAUUAUUGAGAAGAGUGAUGAAAUCAAGAAUCAAGACUGCUGUCAGAUGUACAACCCCAGUAACAUGGAUCAUGGAGAAACUACAUCAACAUUAGGAUGAUAUCUUUUGCGACAUGGUUUCAACAGUCACAUUUCAGGAGAAACGAAGAUCUUAAUAUUUUUCAUCCAUUCAUUCAGUAUUCACUAAGGGACAAAAAAUAAAUAAACACUAUUUCCUCAAACUCAUUUGACAGAUUUUCUUAUAUAUCUUUAUGCAAAGGUGAAAUAAGAUGUGAUCACUGGACCAUUGGUAGUGUAUGCCUUUUUCUCUCGUUGUAUUAUCCAGG